RNAcentral lists this ribosomal RNA (253 nucleotides) under uncultured bacterium. Its description in RNAcentral is "partial 16S ribosomal RNA". It matches the Rfam family "Bacterial small subunit ribosomal RNA", at positions 524 to 776 of the family's 1533-position model. The record is from RNAcentral.
UACGUAGGGGGCAAGCGUUGUCCGGAAUCAUUGGGCGUAAAGAGCGCGUAGGCGGCCCGGUCAGUCGGUUGUGAAAGUCCGGGGCUCAACCCUUGAAUGCCGACCGAUACUGCCGGGCUAGAGUCCGGAAGAGGCGAGUGGAAUUCCUGGUGUAGCGGUGAAAUGCGCAGAUAUCAGGAGGAACACCAAUGGCGAAGGCAGCUCGCUGGGACGGUACUGACGCUGAGACGCGAAAGCGUGGGGAGCAAACAGG